Long non-coding RNA from Dermacentor silvarum, 1786 nucleotides. RefSeq lists it as uncharacterized. The transcript is spliced from 3 exons. NCBI's taxonomy places the organism in Eukaryota, Metazoa, Arthropoda, Arachnida, Ixodida, Ixodidae. The record is from RefSeq and is a predicted model, not a curated record.
CCAGCUUCAUACUUGGGACGACAACCAAAGCAGGCGACCAAGCGCGAUCCGACUUGUGAUAUCGCUGAACAAGUGGUGAGGCAGCACCAGCAGCAGCGAUGAACCAAGGACCAACGAGGCGCUUAUGGAGAAAGCAUCAGCUAUUUUGAAUGACGACGCCAGGAUUACUGACGGAACAAAGCCAAGAAACUGGCAAAGCGUUACCGAUCUGGGAGACAGUGUUCCCUGUGACCCAUCGAACAUGGACAGGCAGCAAGUCAAGCACACGGGCUAUGAGCCUCAUAUCUGCAAGGAAUGUUGCAAGUUUUUCUCAACGAAGUGGACUCUUGUCAGACAUAGCCGCAUGCACACAGGCGAAAAGCCUUAUGCCUGCCAAGAAUGUCCUACAUCAUUUGCCCUGAAUCACCAUCUGAAGGAUCAUCUCAAAACUCAUACGGGCGAAAAACCCCAUGCCUGCAAAAUAUGUUCUAAAACAUUUGGGCGGAAACAGCAGCUCAAAGUGCAUCUCAGAGCGCAUAGGGGCGAAAGACCUCAUGCCUGCAAAGAAUGUCCUAAAUCGUUUGCGACCAAACGAAGUCUUAAUGAACAUCUAAACGCACAUACAGGUAAGAAACCUUACGUUUGCGAAGUAUGUAAACGAUCCUUUACGCACAAAUCUAGUCUCAAAUGUCACCGCUGUGGCUACAAGAAUGAAAAGGAGUAUCUGUGUCCGGAGUGCGACAGUCGUUUCGCAAAUGAAGAAACGCUCGACAGUCAUGUGUGCGAGGAAAAUAUAUGCAUUGUGUGAGAGAAUUCGUUUACCGAUUUGGUUAAAUUUUCCACUCACCCCAUGGCACACAUAGGUAAACAACCAUGACAGUGUGUACUGUGCGCUGAACAGCUCGCACGUCUGCGGCGCUUGCAUCGGCAAAGUGAGCGAAGACAAGUGCAUCUACCAUUCGAUCUACCAUUCUAUCUACCAUUCGUGGAGGAAAUUGUAGGCAUGCAGGAAAAUAACUUUCACAGAUAAUUAUUAUCUAAACACAAGAGCUUUGCGAUAAUUCAAAAGGUAGUGCAGUAAUAUUUGAAGCCAGCUCAGGAUGUCUAAAAUUAAAGUAUCAUAGGAGAAAGUUUGCGAUUACGACAAUACUUGCGUAGAGUGGGGAGAUUAUGCGAAAUCCAUGCGGAAUUUUUGUUAUCAUGUCUCAAUAUUCCUCCAAAUGUCAAUGAGGGGUAGUAACCCUGCCCUAGGCAUUGAGAUUUAUAGAUAGCAAAAUAAAGUUUAAUGAAUCUUCGGUGGAGAAUAUUAAAAGAACGGCUGUAGUAUAAGUGGGACAAAAGUAGGCAAUAUAAACAGUGUUUUAAGACAUCACAAUAUUUCAUGAUCAAUGAUUUGUUAACACAAACCGCCGGUCCCAAAUACUGAUAAUGGGUAGAGAAAAAAGAUAAAAGUGACCAGCUAGACGGUAUGCGCCCCCUCCCGGCUUCAAAGGGGACGUUCAUAUUUUUCUUACAACGAAUUGAAGAAGAAAGCGAACAUCGACAGCUCAGAAGACGACGAAACAUCAACACAGCCUGGCUGGGCUUCCUUCCGUUAUCUUCGACGCUCUCUCGCUUUGCAAACAAAUCAAAUAAAUUGUUUUAUACACGUGACAAUAUUAAUUCAAUCAUGCAUGCUCACUACGGCCGCUGUAUGGUAAUCUUCACCCAAGCAUCGGCAGAAUUUCACGGGCGCGCUGGAAGUGGUUCACCCGCGUGGGGCGACCACAGAAUUGAGCAUUGUGAGCCAACCUCACUUUGGAAACAA